AUUGAACGCUGGCGGCAGGCCUAACACAUGCAAGUCGAGCGAGCGGCGGACGGGUGAGUUAUGCCUGGGAAUCGCCUAGUCGAGGGUGAUAACAGUUGGAAACGAUUGCUAAUACCGCAUACGAUCGGAUUGCCCAGUUGGGAUUAGCUAGUGGGAGGGGUAAUGGCUCACCAAGGCGACGAUCCGUAGCUGGUCUGAGAGGAUGAUCAGCCACACUGGAACUGGGACACGGUCCAGCCUCCUACGGAAGUCAGCAGUGGGGAAUAUUGCACAAUGGGGUAAACCCUGAUGCAGCCAUGCCGCGUGUGAGAAGAAGGCCUUCGGGUUGUAAAGCACUUUCAGCGGGGAGGCGUUACUCGCAGAAGAAGCACCGGCUAACUCCGUGCCAGCAGCCGCGGUAAUAC
Molecule: ribosomal RNA, 404 nt
Filed under: uncultured bacterium
Lineage: Bacteria
Description: partial 16S ribosomal RNA
Rfam family: Bacterial small subunit ribosomal RNA
Source: RNAcentral